This is a long non-coding RNA of Sycon ciliatum, 1961 nucleotides long. RefSeq lists it as uncharacterized. The record is from RefSeq and is a predicted model, not a curated record. Lineage: Eukaryota; Metazoa; Porifera; Calcarea; Leucosolenida; Sycettidae. The transcript has 3 exons.
GUGUGCUAUAUGACCGGGACAUUUGUUCAAUGCUUGGUGGUGGCCUCUUUGCAGUGGGAGUCUCUCCGUAAGCAAUUGGAGGAAAUUGCCCUUGCCAGGCUCCGACUCUUCAAAGCUCAGCUCUAUGAGUAUGUGCAAGCACAACUCCAAGCAGGAAGGAUUGCAAAAUGUGUUGUGGGUGGAGUCUCUGGAUCAUCGAGCAAGCGGCGGGGAAGAAAGAAAGGUGGCUGCGCCGGAGGAGGAGGUGGAGGAACGUAUGCGCUCGGGCAGAGCGAGGCGUGGACCAUGUACUUAGUGAACCGCGACGGCAUAGGUCGGCCGGUGCCCGUUCCGGCUUCGCUUGCACUGGGCCGGCAAGCAAAGCUACUUUGAGCACUACAAACGCUGAUGUUUGUAAUGUACUCAUCACCAUGACAGUAUACCGAAGGUCCCUUGAACUUGUGUUCCGCUCUGCGAACACGCUUCACACCAGUAUCACUGUAAGUAAUACUCGGGUACAGUUGAUCGAAGAAAACAGAAAACGGGAAAAAAAGAAUAUCCUUGAUUCAAGAAAAACGGAUAACGUGAAAAGGAAGAUCCUUGAUUGAUGAAAAACAGAAAACGUGAAAACAAAAGAAUAUCCUUGAUCAAGGCCACAGACUUGAGUAAUCAGAGCCACAUGGAGAGAAAAGCUCUUGUAAAAGACUUCCCAUGACGAUGGGACAUUUCUUCCGAGAUUUCCAGUGUCCUUCACCCGUUGGCGCUGGUAAUGGCAUGCAGUAUGCCAUGCAUGCAAUGAGCCUAUGAUGUGCUCCACUGCACCAUAGACACUGGUGUAGGCGCAUAUUCAACAUACUGAACUUGCCUCGGACAAGCAGAAUGUUAUUUCCCAGCAGCAGACUGGAUGGGCCUCAGUCGAUCAAAAUAAUUUUUGUGUUUUUUUUUUGCCUAACGUAUAUCCUGACUACAUGGCUGUCUUAUUGUGUCCCCAUACAUUUCUUUCUAUGAUGCCGCAACAUUGCCCUGGCAUCUGAACAACCAUUUCCGUUUAAAAAUAUAUUGUAAAACAUGCAUGAUGCCUUUUGUUGGCUCUUAUGCCUGGAUUUCAUUGACCAUGGAUCCUUCCAUAAGUGACAUGCGAACUGUACCUAUUAUUAUGCAUGUUUUAGAACCCGUCGAUGGUUUCAGUCUUACAGACAACCGUUGUAUUCUUUUUAUAAAGUUUUGUUCUUCUAGGAAUGAGCCGUCACGCGGCUGUCCACGGCGGAUGGUUUCCGCCAGCUUCGAAUGCGUUGUACGUGUAUGGCGGUCCUAUCCCACCGGGCAGCUGCAUAGCCUCUUGGAGGCUUCUUUUUUCUGUAUUUGUCUGAUCUCUCAAUGCCGCUUGCCUUGCAUGUCUAUCAUUGCUGCUGUUUGUUGAUGCAGUAUGCUCUUUGCCUGCUGUGCAUAAGCCGUAUUAAACUUGCCGACUGUGGACGGACAUCAGCCUGUCAUUUCCUCUGUGCAUUGCCAGCAUAAUACUUCAGAAGUGUGUUGUCUUUCAAUGAACUCCACGCUCGCCCGUGUGCUACUCUGCAUCAUAUUCACUUGCUCAAAUAGUGCUCAGAUAGCGCUCGAAUAAUGCUCAGAUAGCGCUCGAAUAGUGCUGAGUGCAUGCCGUCCAUUGCAUCGGCCGCUGGAAUGUGUUCUAUAGUUCCACUUACACGUCUUGUUCUUUGGCACCCCAGGGUAUGCAGGCCUUAGAGCUAUGGACUUUUGAUGAUCAUGAUGAUGAUGGUGAUAACCUACCGGUGUUGAUACUUGUUAUAUCAUGUGACCAUUGUCAUGUCAUGUGACCAUUGUAUUGCCAUGCGACCAUUGUCAUGUCACGUGACCAUUGUCAUGUCAUGUGACCAUUGUCAAGUCACGUGACCAUUGUCAUCAGUACAACCAGCAUGGCAACUCGCAGGAAUAGACGACUCAGAAUGUGCAGUGCCUGUGCG